UAACGCGUGAGGAACCUGCCUUGAAGAGGGGGACAACAGUUGGAAACGACUGCUAAUACCGCAUGAAGCAUAGGGGUCGCAUGAUCUUUAUGCCAAAGAUUUAUCGCUUCAAGAUGGCCUCGCGUCUGAUUAGCUGGUUGGCGGGGUAACGGCCCACCAAGGCGACGAUCAGUAGCCGGACUGAGAGGUUGAACGGCCACAUUGGGACUGAGAUACGGCCCAGACUCCUACGGGAGGCAGCAGUGGGGAAUAUUGGGCAAUGGGCGCAAGCCUGACCCAGCAACGCCGCGUGAAGGAAGAAGGCUUUCGGGUUGUAAACUUCUUUUAAGAGGGAAGAGCAGAAGACGGUACCUCUAGAAUAAGCCACGGCUAACUACGUGCCAGCAGCCGCGGUAAUACGUAGGUGGCAAGCGUUGUCCGGAUUUACUGGGUGUAAAGGGCGUGCAGCCGGGUCUGCAAGUCAGAUGUGAAAUCCAUGGGCUCAACCCAUGAACUGCAUUUGAAACUGUAGAUCUUGAGUGUCGGAGGGGCAAUCGGAAUUCCUAGUGUAGCGGUGAAAUGCGUAGAUAUUAGGAGGAACACCAGUGGCGAAGGCGGAUUGCUGGACGAUAACUGACGGUGAGGCGCGAAAGUGUGGGGAGCAAACAGGAUUAGAUACCCUGGUAGUCCACACUGUAAACGAUGAAUACUAGGUGU
This 696-nucleotide ribosomal RNA is filed under the name uncultured bacterium. Its description in RNAcentral is "bacterial SSU rRNA". It matches the Rfam family "Bacterial small subunit ribosomal RNA", at positions 111 to 823 of the family's 1533-position model. The record is from RNAcentral.